AGCAAAUCCAUGAAUACUAUAGCUUCUGUUGCCUUGCUUCGUUAGGUUUUCUUUUCCCUAGUAAUCGUGAUGGGGUGACUUCCUGCUGAGAGGUCCACUUAAGAUGAUGACAAAACCUGUCUCUUUGCAGCUGUCUUUAAUAUUGUCAACGUGUUCCUAAGCAGACCGACUGGUGUGUUGGCAAACAUCAGCGGCAGGAGAUCUCCAGCCCCUGAGAGCUAGAGACGCCUCCCCACAAAGCAUAAAAAAUAGGACUUUGCCAGAUGGCAGAUGUCUUUUUGGUUAGCAAUGUCAUGCCGUAUUUUGAACGAAGAGAUGACAGGGGGAGGAGUCGUUGAGAACAGCUUUUUCAAGUCACACCAAGGCAUGCAAUACGGGGUCUUGGAACGCAGGAGGAAGUCUUAUGGAGCUGAAAAGAGCUACUGAUUACCUAACCCUGUUCUGCACGUUAUCGUCUGAAUCUGACUGAGCACUGACUGAAUCUGCUGAGCAUCCUGCACCACCCGAUACUGCCUAGGGGAGAAGGAAGACUCAGGUUCUCAGGGAGCUGAUGAUCAAUCUGUGCCUUGGCUGGCCUGCCACCCAUCUCUGAGUCCCUCGUCCUUGCCAGGCGGCCCUGCGGAAGGGGCUCACCGCGAGCCAGGAGCAGACACCCUCUCGCCCUCUUGGGAAAGCGGAUCAGGCCGGCUUCUGGGGCGCUCCCUGCACCCCGCCACCUUCUGGGACCUCCGCUGAGAGCCGCGCUUGGGGCACCGCCGGGCCAGCCUCCAACCCCGCCCCCGACAAGGCAGAGCCCGAGACACA
RNAcentral lists this long non-coding RNA (804 nucleotides) under Equus caballus (horse). RNAcentral's name for it is "lncRNA (ENSECAG00000029095.2)". The record is from RNAcentral. Lineage: Eukaryota; Metazoa; Chordata; Mammalia; Perissodactyla; Equidae.